RNAcentral lists this ribosomal RNA (303 nucleotides) under uncultured bacterium. Its description in RNAcentral is "partial 16S ribosomal RNA". It matches the Rfam family "Bacterial small subunit ribosomal RNA", at positions 507 to 809 of the family's 1533-position model. The record is from RNAcentral.
AGCAGUAGCCGCGGGAAUACGUAGGGUGCAAGCGUUAAUCGGAAUUACUGGGCGUAAAGCGUGCGCAGGCGGUUAUAUAAGACAGAUGUGAAAUCCCCGGGCUCAACCUGGGAACUGCAUUUGUGACUGUAUAGCUAGAGUACGGCAGAGGGGGAUGGAAUUCCGCGUGUAGCAGUGAAAUGCGUAGAUAUGCGGAGGAACACCGAUGGCGAAGGCAAUCCCCUGGGCCUGUACUGACGCUCAUGCACGAAAGCGUGGGGAGCAAACAGGAUUAGAUACCCGGGUAGUCCCUGUCUCUUAUAA